AGCCUGAACGCUGGCGGCGUGGCUAAGACAUGCAAGUCGUACGGAUGUAGCAAUACAUCAGUGGCGAACGGGUGAGUAAUGAAUCGCUAACGUGCCCCGGACUCUGGGAUAGCCGGUCGAAAGGCCGGGUAAUACCAGAUGAUAUACCUUUAUCGCAUGAUAGAGGUCUCAAAGGUCCGCCGGUCUGGGAGCGGGCGAUUUCGUAUCAGCUAGUUGGUGAGGUAACGGCUCACCAAGGCGACGACGCGUAGCCGGACUGAGAGGUUGGCCGGCCACAUUGGGACUGAGACACUGCCCAGACUCCUACGGGGGGCUGCAGUAACGAAUCUUCCGCAAUGCACGAAAGUGUGACGGAGCGACGCCGCGUGUGGGACGAAGCCCUUCGGGGUGUAAACCACUGUCAGAGGAAAGAAAGUUCUGAUCUACCUCAGAGGAAGAGGCGGCUAACUCUGCGCCAGCAGCCGCGGUAA
This 470-nucleotide ribosomal RNA is filed under the name uncultured bacterium. Its description in RNAcentral is "SSU rRNA". It matches the Rfam family "Bacterial small subunit ribosomal RNA", at positions 26 to 523 of the family's 1533-position model. The record is from RNAcentral.